This 496-nucleotide ribosomal RNA is filed under the name uncultured bacterium. Its description in RNAcentral is "partial 16S ribosomal RNA". It matches the Rfam family "Bacterial small subunit ribosomal RNA", at positions 30 to 523 of the family's 1533-position model. The record is from RNAcentral.
AUUGAACGCUGGCGGAAUGCUUUACACAUGCAAGUCGAACGGUAGAGGGGGCAACCCCUCGAGAGUGGCGAACGGGUGAGUAAUAUAUCGGAACGUGCCCAGUCGUGGGGGAUAACGUAGCGAAAGUUACGCUAAUACCGCAUACGAUCUAAGGAUGAAAGCGGGGGAUCGCAAGACCUCGCGCGAUUGGAGCGGCCGAUAUCAGAUUAGGUAGUUGGUGGGGUAAAGGCUCACCAAGCCAACGAUCUGUAGCUGGUCUGAGAGGACGACCAGCCACACUGCAACUGAGACCCGGUCCAGACUCCUACGGGAGGCAGCAGUGGGGAAUUUUGGACAAUGGACGCAAGUCUGAUCCAGCCAUUCCGCGUGCAGGAUGAAGGCCCUCGGGUUGUAAACUGCUUUUGUACGGAACGAAAAGGUCUCUCUUAAUACGGGGGGCUCAUGACGGUACCGUAAGAAUAAGCACCGGCUAACUACGUGCCAGCAGCCGCCGUAA